UUGUCCACAAAGGAGUUUCCUGAGUUGGCCCAGACAGGGCUGAACUACCUGUCAUGGUCCUCGGACUGCGAGAAUUUUCUCCAGGGCAAAACCCUCCUGAGGGCGAUCGGUAAGGGGGCCCAGCUGGCCGCCACUGAUCCCAUGUUCGAAACUGAGAAUGCGCAGGCUCUGCACUUUCUCCGUCAUCACCUGUCACCUACUCUGAAAGAUGAGUGUAUGGCUGAGCGCAGUGCUUCUGGCCUUUGGACCGCUCUUAAGCAGUGGUUUGAGCGGCUGAAGUACACUAUGAAGCCACGUGCAGAGGCAGAGUGGAUCCGUCUAAGCCAGAAGAUUGAGAAAACCAUAUCCACUUUCCACCCCAACGUGGUCCAGUCCUCACGGAACUACCGCCAGGGGAACUACACGAGGUAUUCAGAGUUGAUUGACGUCCUCUAGGUGGCGGAGGCGCAAGAUGAGGUUCUCAAAAAGAACUUUGUUGCGCAACCACUUGGGAAGAAGAUGGGCCGCAAGGGCAAGAAGAAGGGCCCUCGCCCUCCUGCCCCGGCUAAGCAGAACAAGCCGGGCAAGGGAGGGCAGAGGCCUCGGGACUGCUUCCGUGGUGGCUCGGUGGAGCAUUUCUCCCGCCAGUGCCGCGCACCACCGGAGGUCGUUGAAGCAUACAAGGCUCGAAAGGCGCGUGAGACGCACCUCGCCUUGGUUCAGGAGGGAGCACCACCGGCGCCCAUGGCAGCACCCGUGAUGGUCGCUAUGCCCCCUGUUGCGCCCAUAGAGGCGACCCCCGUGGUGCCCAUUGUGGUAGCUUUGGUGGUCUCUACCGACACCCACGUCACCAUGGAGGUUGACCACAUGGUCGCCGCGGCGCCGCCGCUGCCACUAGACAUUGAUAGUGCCUCCAAGAUGAUUUCUAAGGAGGAUCAGCUCACUAGUAUGGAGAUUGCGGCUGAAGUGAAUGGCUUCUUCACCGAGUCCACUUAG
Molecule: ribosomal RNA, 975 nt
Filed under: Triticum aestivum (bread wheat)
Lineage: Eukaryota; Viridiplantae; Streptophyta; Magnoliopsida; Poales; Poaceae
Description: partial small subunit ribosomal RNA
Source: RNAcentral